UUAAAUUGAAGAGUUUGAUCAUGGCUCAGAUUGAACGCUGGCGGCAGGCCUAACACAUGCAAGUCGAGCGGAAACGAGUUAACUGAACCUUCGGGGGACGAUAACGGCGUCGAGCGGCGGACGGGUGAGUAA
This 132-nucleotide ribosomal RNA is filed under the name Vibrio parahaemolyticus VP551. Its description in RNAcentral is "partial 16S ribosomal RNA". It matches the Rfam family "Bacterial small subunit ribosomal RNA", at positions 1 to 113 of the family's 1533-position model. The record is from RNAcentral. Lineage: Bacteria; Pseudomonadati; Pseudomonadota; Gammaproteobacteria; Vibrionales; Vibrionaceae.